UGGAGAACCUGCAUUUCUAACAAGUUCCCAGGCGAUGCUGAUGUUUCUCGUCCAGCGACCACACUUUGAAAACUUCUGCUUAGCAGAUACUGCCAAACUGUUUUCCAAAGUAUUUGUACCAAUUUACCAUCCCACCAAGAUGAGAGUGCCAGUUGCUCUGCUUGGUAUUAUCCUCCUUUUAAAUUCCGGUCAUAUGGAUGGAGAUGGAAGGUGAAAAGUCAAUAUGUGGGGCAUGGAACCUUCUAGAAGAGCAACUGAUGUUGUCUCUCCACUUCUCCAAGGAACUUGGAAAGGCUGAGCAGAAAGGAGGGGGUGCAGCAGGAAGCAACAUAUCUCAAAUCAGAACCAACUCACGGAGGCUGGCCCCCAAAGUUGUCACUGCUGCAGCCUACUGCAAUGUAGUCGGGUCAGGUGGAGUUCCCCAACUGGACGAAGAGCACCAUCAACAUUGACUGGCAAUACUUCAGAGGCCUUUUGGUGAUUGUUAGACUGGGCAGGACAGGAGGUGACACUGUGCAAUGAUUGAAAAAGAGACUCUGAAAAGAUAGAGAAAGGAGAAGGAACUGGUGGUUUUGAAAUAGAACUGUGGAUAGAGGGGGUCAGGGGAAGAAGAGGAUGGAGGACAUUCAUCUUCAGAAGAAAGCAUCAGGGGUCCUGGCUCUUGAAGAGAGGAAGGGAGACAGGGUAGGUGCUGGUUGCAUGGGGAAAGAUGACAGAGCAUGGAUAUGAGACCCAAGCACCCCCAAUAACUGGGAUUGGACAUUUCUAGUCAGUCUGCCUAUGAGGAGAGUGAUAAAGCCUGGUGGGGAUAUUUGAUGGAUGAACCAAGGAAGAAGUAUGUGAGGUGAGAUUUUUAUAAAGAUGUGGUGGAAGACCAAUGAGAUUGUGAAUCAGGGAUGGAAAAUGUAGGACGUGUUUACUUCCUCUUUGGGCAGGAAAAGAAGAAAAGAAAACCCAUUGGCUUUAGAAUUUUUAUAUGUUUGCUAAGUGAAGUGACAAAAUGGCGUCUGAGAAGAGACCUUUGAGACACACCAGUUGAAAGAGGAAUGAUGGUGAGAAGCUAUUAGUGUUUAAGGGCUCCCUGAACCUGUGAGAGAUAAGAUUGGGUUUGGCUCAGGAAGGAGGACAAAAGUUAAAGGUCCAGGGACAAGUGAGCUAAAUCCAACCGUUUUUAUGGGAGAAGAGGAAGAAGAAAGAAGUGGGAUCCCCCAAAUAAUAAAAAAGUAGGAGUCCAGAAAGCGAAAGAAAAGGCCUCAAUGAGUGUGAAGUGAGCCAAGAACUCUGGAUUUGAACCCAGAGUCAAGUCUUUCCAUCGGUGUUCCAUGGGCGAGUACUAGCUUCUC
Molecule: long non-coding RNA, 1343 nt
Filed under: Equus asinus (donkey)
Lineage: Eukaryota; Metazoa; Chordata; Mammalia; Perissodactyla; Equidae
Description: lncRNA (ENSEASG00005038068.1)
Source: RNAcentral